RNAcentral lists this transfer RNA (76 nucleotides) under Actinomycetes bacterium. RNAcentral describes it as "Actinobacteria bacterium tRNA-Val". It matches the Rfam family "tRNA". From Rfam's summary of the family: Transfer RNA (tRNA) molecules are approximately 80 nucleotides in length. Their secondary structure includes four short double-helical elements and three loops (D, anti-codon, and T loops). Further hydrogen bonds mediate the characteristic L-shaped molecular structure. tRNAs have two regions of fundamental functional importance: the anti-codon, which is responsible for specific mRNA codon recognition, and the 3' end, to which the tRNAs corresponding amino acid is attached (by aminoacyl-tRNA synthetases). tRNAs cope with the degeneracy of the genetic code in two manners: having more than one tRNA (with a specific anti-codon) for a particular amino acid; and 'wobble' base-pairing, i.e. permitting non-standard base-pairing at the 3rd anti-codon position. Lineage: Bacteria; Bacillati; Actinomycetota; Actinomycetes. The record is from RNAcentral. RNAcentral also lists the same sequence under 1 other name.
GGGCGCUUAGCUCAGCUGGAAGAGCGUCGCCCUUACAAGGCGAAGGUCGGGGGUUCGAGUCCCUCAGCGCCCACCA